This 497-nucleotide ribosomal RNA is filed under the name uncultured bacterium. RNAcentral describes it as "partial 16S ribosomal RNA". It matches the Rfam family "Bacterial small subunit ribosomal RNA", at positions 28 to 507 of the family's 1533-position model. The record is from RNAcentral.
GAUGAACGCUGGCGGCGUGCCUAAUACAUGCAAGUCGAGCGAACAGAUAAGGAGCUUGCUCCUUUGACGUUAGCGGCUGACGGGUGAGUAACACGUGGAUAACCUACCUAUAAGACUGGGAUAACUUCGGGAAACCGGAGCUAAUACCGGAUAACAUCUUGAACCGCAUGGUUCACUAGUGAAAGGCGGCUUUGCUGUCACUUAUAGAUUGAUCCGCGCCGUAUUAGCUAGUUGGUCAGGUAACGGCUUACCAAGGCAACGAUACGUAGCCGACCUGAGAGGGUGAUCGGCCACACUGGAACUGAGACACGGUCCAGACUCCUACGGGAGGCAGCAGUAGGGAAUCUUCCGCAAUGGGCGAAAGCCUGACGGAGCAACGCCGCGUGAGUGAUGAAGGUCUUCGGAUCGUAAAACUCUGUUAUCAGGGAAGAACAAAUGUGUAAGUAACUGUGCACAUCUUGACGGUACCUGAUCAGAAAGCCACGGCUAACUACGUG